AAUCAACGCUGGCGGCGUGCCUCAGACAUGCAAGUCGAACGCGAAAUCCCGAGCAAUCGGGAGAGUAGAGUGGCGCACGGGUGAGUAACACGUAGGUAAUCUACCUUCGGAUGGGGAAUAACAACCGGAAACGGUUGCUAAUACCGCAUAAUGCAGCGGCACCUAAUGGUGACAGUUGUUAAAGCGGGGGAUCGAAAGACCUCGCGUCUGAAGAGGAGCCUGCGGCGGAUUAGCUAGUUGGUAAGGUAAUGGCUUACCAAGGCAACGAUCCGUAACCGGCCUGAGAGGGCGGUCGGUCACACUGACACUGACAUACGGGUCAGACUCCUACGGGAGGCAGCAGUCGGGAAUUUUGGGCAAUGGGCGAAAGCCUGACCCAGCAACGCCGCGUGAAGGAUGAAAUCCCUCGGGAUGUAAACUUCGCAAGAACGGGAAGAAUAAGCCGGUGUAAAUAUCACCGGUGAUGACGGUACCGUUUGUAAGCUCCGGCUAACUCCGUGCCAGCCGCCGCCGUAAC
Molecule: ribosomal RNA, 517 nt
Filed under: uncultured bacterium
Lineage: Bacteria
Description: bacterial SSU rRNA
Rfam family: Bacterial small subunit ribosomal RNA
Source: RNAcentral